GGCAUCUGAGCGCCGGCUCCGCGGAGGCGUCUCUUGCAAUUGCUGGGAAAUAGGAAUGAGAGUUUUAAGGCUGUUUUAACAACCAAAUCAGAUUAAAUAAAUUAACAUGUUUAAAUUGUUAUCAAUUGUUCCUUCAGUUGCUUUAGGACGAUUGGAGAGGAGCCUCGGUCCACAAGACCGGAAGCCUGAGGAGUGCAGCUUUGUCCCCAAGGUCACAGUGACUGGCUUUCUGCUGCCGGCUGUAAAGCACAUGCGGACCGAAACCCCCCUUCGGAAGUGUUUGAAAACUGCAAGAUUUCACCCUCUCCAUCACCAAGCCAAGGGAAACAUAACCAAAAGGGUUUUCUUCCCGAUGGCGAAGGCAUGAUAGGUUAGUGAUUCGUGGUAGAAUUAUUGCCCUCCGCGCGGAGGCCUGAUUCUAUUCCCAGUUUGUUCUCUUCUUUCCCUGCUUAUUAAAAUUUGUAAUUGCCAUUUAAAUAUCUAACUGCCCCUCACAACUGCACCCAGUGUGUAGGUUUCGGGGUGGGGGUUUUUUUUUUUCCUUUUUUUAAUUUUAUUGAGACAGGGUCUCGCUAUGUUGCCUGCCUGGGUCUUCCAAAGUGCAGUGACUACAGGCGUGAGCUACCGCGCCUAGCCCACCAGUGUAUUGAUAUUUAUUUUUCUAUCCCUAGUUUUGUUUUCUGUUUGAUUCUGGUGAUUCCUUUUUCCAAAGUGAGUUGGCAACCUGUGGUAGCCAAAGAAGUAGGCAACUGCUCGUAGGUUUUUUCUUAAAUUACGAGGUAGUCUGAACGCAUCUCCUGUAAGUAGUUAAGAGUACUGUGAGACCGUGUGCCUGGCAGAACAGCAGAGUGGCGCAGCGGAAGCGUGCUGGGCCCAUAACCCAGAGGUCGAUGGAUCGAAACCAUCCUCUGCUAGGUCCUUUUUUUUUCUCCCCCCCCGUCUAUUUUCCUGAGGAUCCCUUUUUUUUAAGUUACAGUUUUUUAGGUUAAACAAUGACGAAAGAAAACAAAAUGAACCCGAGUAUUUCUUUAAUUCCAGAAUUACAAGCAUUUCCGGGAAAUAAUGUGAAACUACAAUCUCUGCAUGUACAAUUUUGAUUUUCAUGGACACCCAAGUGUCAUUAAUCAAUAUGUCAUCUGUAAACAAAGCAAAUUUCUCUUGUUUAGAGGCUAUACCACUGUUGCAGCCAGUUAUGACAGUUGUAAGUUAACCUGCCAAGCAAGGAGAAUGCUUACAUAAACUGAGUGCCAAGGGUGGGGUGGGGUGGGAGCCCAGGAAUGGAGUUUUAUAUCUUUUGAUACAUAAUUCAGAAAGCACUAUUUGCCAAGUAGUUAAGGCAAUCGACUAGGAAUUCCUAAAUCCCCACACAGAUUCUUUUCACCUACAAGGAUCUUAAUCUCGGAAAAUGAGUUGCAUUUUGAGGUGGGUGUGGAGUCUUCAUAGCACUGAUUGAACUCUGACCUGAGAAAAACAUUUUUGCGGACCCUACUGGUAAAUGUGUCUCUACUCUCUACCAUCCUUUAAUAUCUCAAAUAGAACUAUUCGCUGUGCUUAUUUUUUAAACAUAUGUGUGGACUGCUUUAUGCUUCUCUCUCUCAGAAAGGAUUCCUAUUCAGAUAUUUAUGUGUCACAUACUGUAUUAGGAACUAAGAAAAAAAAAAAACCUUAAGUAGUCUACAGUCUAGAUAUGCUUUUGUUGUUUUUGUUUUUUGUUUUUUGUUUGUUUAUUUGUUUUUGAGAUGAAGUCUCACUCUUGUUGCCCAGGCUGGAGUGCAGUGGCACGAUCUUGGCUCAUUGCAACCUCCACCUCCUGGGCUCAAGAGAUUCUCCUGCCUCAGCCUCCCAAGUAGCUGGGAUUACAGGUGCCUGCCAUCACACUCAGCUAAUUUUUGUAUUUUUAAUAAAGGCAGGGUUUUACCAUGUUGGCCAAGCUAGUCUUGAACUCCUAACCUCAGGCAAUCCGCCAGCCUUGGCCUCCCAAACUGCUGGGAUUACAGGCUUAAGCCAACGCACCUGGCCCAUAUGCUUUUAAACAAGUAAAUAUGUAGAGUGCAAUACAGUAAUUCUGUGAAAGGAUUGUACACUAAGUGCACUGGGAAUAAGGAAAAUAGUGCUUGUAAUCCCAUGACCACCCACUAAUUCAGUAAUUCACCAGAAGUAAUCACAUGACUCAGCAUACUCUCAGUUAAGAUUUAUUAUAUCUAUUGACCAUUUUUUGUUUGGGUUAAAGAACAUGUUUUAAAAAUAAAAACAAAAAAGAUUCAUUACAGCACAGGAUACAAUGCAAGAAAAGCAGAAAAAAUAUGUAUAUACACAGGUAAAUGUGGCUGUUACUAUAGGACUGAAUGAAGGAGGAUGAACACAGAAAUGAAGACAAAGACAAAAGGAUUUGUUUAAAAGAAGGGGUCAAGGGGCUCCUAGCUUCUAGAGAACAAGGGCCCUGAGCUUCUACAGCCCUUCGUAUUUAUUAGGUAGAGUGAACAAGGAGGAAGGGGUAACUGUCGGUCAGCUACUGGAUUUAUCACAGGCUGACGAUUGCUUUCUUUGUUCAACAGACUCUAGAUAUUCCUAUAGAUAACCUUAAGGAACACGGUGCCUGGGACGUGAUUGCUCUCAGCAUUCCUUCUAGUGGCAGAUGCACUUGUCAGUUUGCCAGCAUGCUGCUUUCAUGAGAACAGUUUGCUGUUUGCUCAUAUACCCUCCAGUGGUAUAUUGAGUUGGUCACGUCCCUCAUUCCUUUGGCCUCCAACAUCUCCCCCUUUUUGUUUUUGCAUUAAUUGAAUAAAGGCAAUUCCAGACUGCAGCUUUCAAUUGCCAGUUGGUGGUCCAGCCGAUUUUACAGACCAUAAACAGAAAACAGAGACACAAUAACAUUAUUCCUAUAAUUAUAAAAGAGACAUUGAGGUGCUGUUUAAAGUAGAUCCAAGGGUUAAGCUUCUCUAAACCUUGCUGGAAUUAGCUCCAAGCUUCUAAAGAGGGCUGAUACUCUUAAGUUUGCCUAUUCAGAUCAAGAAUUUUACUCUGUAAAUCAUUAAUAUCAAAAGUAACAUUGGAUGUAAAAGCCCCCUGCAAAUGGGCCUUUACAAGUCUCCAUGGAUAUUCACUUUGAUUAUAUUACACAAAUUAGUUACACAAAUAUAAGUAUGGUUAAAAUGACAAUGCAAUUGCUGCUGCAACUGCAAACAUUGUAUUUGUUCUCCUAGCCACAGGACAGUAGUCUUUAACAUUGCCACCUCUGUUUGUAUUUUGGUGUUAAUUUUAUUUUGAAGCAUCCGUGCCUGGUUGGCCAUAUGCGUCCAAUUUUUCACAUAUUCAGCUGUUUGAAUAGAGCUGUGCAGUGCUACUGAGGACACUACAAUAGAGGUUAUUAGUGUAACUAGGGAGACUGUACCAAAAAUUACCAUGCCUAAGGCUCUACAAGCACAGUGAGUGAGCUGAGUAAGAAGGAGUUGUACAAAAUAUAAAGCCGGGAUAGCCACCCAAGGCUCAAACAAAUUGACAGGAAUCCAUAAUCUGGGAAUGCAACCCGGAAUUAUUAAGGUGGAUAUGUUGUGUGUUUGUAUCGUGCUAUGAUUUAUGCAGUGAUACAGUUGACAGGAGUCACAAGUCAAAUGGGAGACGUUUACCUGGAGUUGGUCCUUUUUAGCCGCCAGAAAGAUACAGGGAUUAAAAACACAAAUUGUAAAUUGAGUGAUAAUAUUUCUUACAAAGGUAACAUUAAAACUGUGUUGAGUCCUAUUACUAUUAUUGGAUAGUGUCCUGACCCAGAUGCUGCCAUUCAUAAAUGGGAGUGCUAACUUCCAUAUCGACUGCUGAAUUGGGCCCCUCUUUCCUUGAUGACGCCGCUGAGGCAAAGGCGGACUAAAGCCUGUUCCGUGCCAAGCCAGUUGCGUGGCAGAUUAGGAUUGAAUCCCAAUGCGAUAUAGCGAAGAAAUGUUAAAUGUUCACCACCAGUGGCAGCGAAGUUUGUUCCAUGAGGUCUGAUUCUCAUCUCUCCCAAAUGACCACAGGGACCCCAGUCAAUAAUGUCUCCCAUUAACAUAGACUUGUCUAGCUAAGGGGUCAAGACACUGGAUCCAAGGAGGGGGGUGAGAAUUAUUGAAGGGAGCCCAUUCUGUAUAAUCAAUACAAUUUGGACGAUGGGGCUGGGAGAGAUUAGUAAAUCCACCAGUAAUAUUAUUAGAGCUAAGGCCUAAUAGGUACAUAAUGUUUCCAUGGUGACUCAACCAUGCCUGGGAUUGGACUGCAAGGCAACUGCCAUUGAGCGAUGUAUCCUUGGUGAUGCAUAAAGGGAGUCCCUCCAAUGGGGCAGUGUAAUUGAUACUAUUGUUCUGACAGUCUAAUAGUUCUGUGUCAGGGGGAGUUAGGGGUCCUGGGGUCCAUGCUCCCUGAUCACGAUAUACCUCAGGAGGAGUGUCACUCCAGAGUACAGGUCGCACUACUCAGGGGUUAGGAACAUAUGCCCGACAUGUUUUUGCUUCUACACAGGGGAAACAUACCACACAGGACACUACAGCUAGUAUGGCCAAGAACAUUGAUUCAGGGGUUUUUGCCUGACCCUGGCACUCCAGCAUUUUCUCAGCUUCCUGCAUGGUUUUCUUGAUCUGUCCCCAUGUUAUGAGGGUGGAUGUCAAUGUGACUCCAGUCGGCCCUUGUUCCAUCUUUGCAUUCAGAUUCAACUGGCCUAUGGCUUGUACUGGGGGAACCGGGCCCAUGGUUGCGAUCCACGGAUCCCUCCAGUCUCCCGUUCCAUGGUUGCACGUACCUGGAGGGCACCUACACAGUUUGUCCAUCUCCUGUAAAAACACAAGCAUACCCUCAUCCCCACAUCAGCAAAUCCACUGGGCCUUUCCUUUGUCCUUCUUCUGGGGAUUUCCAUAACACCUUUGGAUAAACUUGCCUCUUUCCCUCUAACACUUGCCAAUGUUGUUCUGCUAGAGUCUUACCAUCCAUACCAGGCAUCAAAAAAUUUAAAGUAAACAAGACUAAAUGUAAUUUUGUUUAAGGUGGUAGCUGGUCUCCUAUUCCCCCUUUUUUUCUCAACAUACGCUGUAGUGUUUGAUGUGCCCGCUCUAUAAUGCCUUGUCCUUGGGGAUUGUAAGGAAUUCCUGUUUUAUGAAUGAUUGCCCAUAACUGUAAAAAAUUUUGAAAAGCAUGACUAACAUAAGCAGGUCCAUUGUCAGUUUUUAAUUGUUUAGAGACCCCCAUAUGGGCAAAUGACGACAAACAAUGCCAUUGGACAUGGCCAGCAGUUUCCCCUGUUUGACAUGUGGCAUGUAACAUAUUGGAGUAGGUGUCUAUAGUCACAUGAACAUAGCUAAGUUUGCCAAAGGCUGCUGUAUGUGCAACAUCCAUCUGCCAGAUUUCAUUUGGAGCCAAGCCUCGUGGGUCGCAUCCUUCCACGGGUGCAACACCAGGGACAUGCUGACAAGUGGAGCAGGCUUGCACAAUAGCUUGAGCUUGACUGCAAGGCAGAUGAAACAUAUGAGUAAGGGCAGAGGUGUUUUGAUGCAGUAAUGCAUGGGAAGCUUGGGCUUGUUGGAAUACAGAACCAAUUAAUUUAUCUGCUUUAUCAUUACCUUGAGAUAGUGGUCCAGGAAGUUGCGUAUGAGAGCGAAUAGGAGCAGCACAAGAGAGAAUAGCUUGCUGAAGUCUUAGAAACAAAUUAAGCAGCUCUGGUUCUAGGGUGCCCUUAAUAGUGGCAGUCUCAAUGCAACUAGCUGCAUUUACAACAUAGGCUGAAUCACAAACAAUAUUAAUAGGAGAUAAAGCCGUGAGCUCUAAAACCUGAAUAACUGCGAUUAACUCUGAGCAUUGAGCUGAAACUCCAGAGAUCUUUAUUGUUUGAGUAUGUUUAGUUGCAUAAAUAGCUGUGCGGCCUUUGUAAGAGCCAUUGGUAAAAUAUGUCUUUCCACCUGGAAUGGGCUUGUGAUGGGUAAUUACAGGGAGGAUAAAAGGGUGAACUUUAUAAAAUUGCAAAAUCUUGUCUGAUGGAUAAUGGUUAUCUAUUAUUCCCACAAAAUCUGCAAAAGCAAUUUGCCAUGCAGUCGACAUUUCCCAUGCUGCGGCCUGUUGUUGGGAAUCCAAGGGAACAAUAAUUUUAUCAGGAUCAUAUCCCGUAAGCAUUUUUUACCUGUGCCUACCUAUUGUUAUAAGUUGAGUAAUUAAAGAAAGAUAAACUUGCAAAGAUUUCACUGUCAGAUUGAAUAAAAAAAAAAAAAGCCUUUAUAUUACCAUUACAGAUUUGUCUAUGAAUUGGCCUAAAAAUCCUGAUGGAGAAUGGGGGGUAGGAAGAAUAAACAAAAGCAAAGGCUUUUGUGGCUGUAGCCGGGAGGCAUGUUGUUGCUGAAGGAUCUGUUCUACACGCUGUCACUCAGCUUCUGCCUCGUUAGUAAGUUGCCGAGGAGAAUCUAAUGAAGAAUCUCUUUGGAGGGUUUGAUAAAGGUGUGUGAGUUGGUAGAUGGCAAUACCUAGCAUCAGGCACAGCCAAUUGAUAUCCCCUAAUAAUUGUUGGAAGUCAUUCAGAGUUUGUACCCUCUCCCUACAGAGAGUUACUUUCUGAGGCCGAACACUUCUUCCAGUAACAAUAGUACCUAAGUACUGGUAUGGGGAGGUUGUUUGCACCUUUUCAGGAGCUAUUUUGAGAUUCCAUGCAGUCAAGACUCAUUUUAUUUCCCUGAAUAACUGAUGUAACAUUUGAUCUGUAGGAGCGGCCAAAAGAAUAUCAUCCAUAUAAUGAAUGAUGUAGGCAUUGGGAAAUAUAUUGCGAGGCUCCUUUAAAGCUUUUCCUACAAAAUGCUGACAUAACAUAGGACUGUUGAGCAUGCCUUGGGCUAAAACUUUCCACUGAGAGCGAGAGACAGGCUCUCUUUGAUUAAUAGAAGGCACAGAGAAGGCAAAUUGAGGCUUAUCCUUUUUGUGUAAUGGUAUAUUAAAAAAAAAACUCUUUAAGACCUAUUACUACAAGAGUCCAAUCUCUUGGAAUGGCUGCUGAGGAUGACAGACCUUGCUGUAAUGCACCCACUGGUUUAAUCUGUGCAUUUAAUAGCUCUCAAAUCAUGUAGCAGUUGCCAUUUUCCUGACAUUUUUGGAUCACAAAUACAGGUGAAUUCCAGGGGCUGACUAUUCUGUAUGUUCUGCUUCCAGUUGCUCUCUCACUAGCUGAUGGAGUUGCAUCAGUUUCUCCUGUGAUAGGGGCCAUUGAUCCACCCACACAGGUUUGUCAGUCAGCCACUCUAGCGGCAAAGCAGUGGGUGGAGGAGAAAUACCAAUGACCCCCACCAAAAAUCCUGAUGACCUAGCCCUUUUCUGUUUUGUCCAGUUAUUGAUAUUGGAUCAGGGUUUCCCUGCAGGGGCUUUCCUAAGCCUUUUCCACUCUGAAUCCCAUUUUCUUUAACAUUUUAAAUCCUGGAUUAUCAAUAGUUUCCUUUUUAAGUCUCAUGUCCCAUGCUGUCAGUAAAUCUCGGCCCCAUAGAUUAACAGCUAUAUUUGCAACAUAAGGUUGAAAAGUACAUGACUGUCCAUGUGGUCUGAGACAGGAUAAAAUCUCAGCACUCCACUGAACACUUUGAGCUUUCCUAGUCCCACUAAGGAUGUAGAAGUUAAUUGCAGGGGUCAAGAUGGUGGGCCAAUAGUGUUUGGAUAUUACUAACACAUCAGCUCCCGUAUCCAUAAGCCCAUAGAACUUCUUUCCUUUAAUUUGCACUGUACAGGUGGGUCGAUUAAAUGCUAUGGGUUGUGAUAGAUAAAUUUACCGCCUAGUUGUACUUCCAAAUCCUUGAUUCCCUCGUUUUUCCUUUCAUGGGGAAGGGUGCAACUUGCAGGGAAUAAGCAAUAGUUGAGCAGUAUAUUCUCCCAGUUCAAAAACCCAAAGAUCUUGUGACAUUACUACUACUUGAAUUUCUCCUUCAUAAUCACAGUGAACAACUCCGGGGACCAUGGUAAUGCCCUGUAAGUUAAGACGGCUUUUGCCCAAAAUUAAUCCCAUAUAUCCUGUUGGCAAAGGUCCCCAAAUACCAGUGGGAAUCUUCGUGGGUUUGUCUCCUCCAACAAAUGUAACCCGUUCUCUGACUGGAAGAUCUAAUCCUGUGCUUCUGGGUGUUCCUGGGGAGAGGGAAUCAAUGUUCUUCUGGGAACCCAUCCCUGAAAUGGGGCUGUGGCCUGGAUGGGGAAUGCCCUCAUUGUUUGAGGGGCCCGGAUCCAGGCCCCCUUCUCGUUUCCCGACAGGGGGGUGCUAUUCUGAUGAAAUUUUGAGCGGCAUUGAUUAACCCAAUGAUUUCCUUUAUUACAACGAGUGAAAAGUCCUGGCAUUUUUUCUGUCUGGGGGAACUGCAUUAUAAGAUCCUCUCUGCCCAGAGGUCUGAUGGCAUUCUUUUUUGAAAUGUCCAAUUUUUCCACAAUUAUAACAUUUUCCUACUUUAGGGCUUGACCCUUGGCCCUUUCUAGAUUUGUUACUACUAAAUUAGCCAUUGCUUGAGCCAACAUUGUAGAAUGAUGGAGUUCAGUUCCCACAUCCUGACAGGCUUUGAGAAAUUUUCCUAAGAUCUUUGCAGACCUCACAGGUGCCAGAGCACGUUUACAAUCUGCACUUGCAUUUUCAAAAGCUAGAGUCAAAGUAAGCAUUUCUGCAGCAGCGGUAUGAGGAAUCUGAUGCCUCACUGCCUCUUGUAAUUGUACAACAAAAUGUGCAUAGGACUCCUGCGACCCUUGCAUAACUUGUAGAAAAGAUUGUACUGGGACUCCUUGCUCUGGAAUGGUGUCCCAGGCGCGUUUAGCAGCCAAGGCAGACUGCUUGUAAGCAGUGCCUGGGAGUGUCAAUUGUCGCAGCAGAUCUGAAUAAGGGCCAUUACCCAGUUGCAUAUCCUCUGUAAUGUCCCCGUGUCCAGCAGCACGAUUCUGUCUAGUCUGGUCUGCACACAGUUCUAGCCAGUUUAAAUUCCAUGUCAGAUAUGCACUACCAGACAAACAAGUGUGAGCCAAAUGCUUUAUAUCAAAGGCUGGAAGGCACAUAGCACCGAGUACAGAUUCUAGCAAUCCUAAAGUAAAUGGGCUCUGUAUUCCAUUAUUAACUACACUAGCUUUUAAUUCCUUCAACAACUUAAACUCUACCGGGGUGUGUUCAUAAGUAAACUGCUGUGGAUUAUUCAGAUUGGGCCUUACGGAAAUAGGAAAAGCGCAAGGUCCUAGGGGCUCUCCAGCUAUGGCAGCAGCGCAGAGAAUUCUUUGUGUUGGGGUCUCUUUCUGCUACUGAAGGAGGCGGUAUAGAUGUUUCUGCUAUUGGGGGGAUGGUACAGGCCAAUUUUCGUCCUUUCCUGUUUAUCAUUUUCUUUUCUUUUCUUUUUUUUUUUUUUUUGAGACAGAGUCUCGCUCUGUCACCCAGGUUGGAGUGCAGUGGCACGAUCUCAGCUCACUGCAAGCUCCGCCUCCCGGGUUCACGCCAUUCUCCUGCCUCAGCCUCCCAAGUAGCUGGGACUACAGGCACCCACCACCACGCCUGGCUAAUUUCCUUGCAUUUUUAGUAGAGAUGGGGUUUCACUGUGUUAGCCAGGAUGGUCUCAAAUCUCCUGACCUCACGAUGCGCCCACCUCGGCCUCCCAAAGUACUGGGAUUACAGGCGUGAGCCACUGUGCCUGGCCUCCUGUUUAUCAUUUUCAAUGCAUGCUGUGGGUGAGACAAAAGAUUCUUUCAAUUUUUGAGAUUCAGAACAUGGCUCCUGUGGUCCAGCAGAAUAAGAAGGGGACAAUGGCAGAAGGACAGUACAGACUAAACCCCAGAGAAAACAGAAGGAUCAACUUUGAGACCUUUUUGAUGAGCCCGUUUUAAUCUGUCUCCUACUGGGUCCCAAUUUUCCACAUUGAGGGUGCCUGUCUGUGGAAACCAUGGGUUAUGCAUAAUAAACUCCUGCAGAAGCUUAGUUAGUGUUUGAGAGCUAACCUGAGCAUUAAGCAACUGCACAUAAUGUUGCUCCUCCAUAGACAAAUUCUGCCCCAUGUUACCCUGAUUCAGAAACUUCCCGCUCCCAGUACCUCCUCAGGGCACUGACUUUAUAUCCUCCUCUGGCUGACUCGUCCUGGGGUUCCUCGUUCAUCUGAUCAGUUUCACUUUCUCUGCUCCAGCAGACCUUCUUCAUUCAAGUCUCUGUUUGGGUGCCAUUGUGGCUGUUACUGUAGGACUAAACGAAGGAGGACAAAUGCAGAAAUGAAGACAAAGACAAAAGAAUUUGUUUAAAAGAAGGGGUCAGAGGGCUCCUUGCUUCUAGAGAACAAGGGCCCUGAGCUUCUACAGCCCUUCAUAUUUAUUACGUGGAGUGAACAGGGAGGAAGGGGUAACUGUUGGUCAGCUACUUGAUUUAUCACAGGCUCACAUGAUUGCUUUCUUUGUUCAACAGACUCCAGAUGUUCCUAUAGAUAACCUUAAGGAACACGGUGCCUGGGACGUGGUUGCCCUCAGCAUUCCUUCUGGUGACAGAUGCAGUUGUCAGUUUGCCAACAUCCUGCUUUCAUGAGAACAGUUUGCUGUUUGCUCAUAUACCCUCCAGUGGUAUAUUGAGUUGGUCACGUCCCUCAUUCCUUUGGCCUCCAACAGGUGAAGGCUAAAGAAGGCUUUCUCAUCCAACGUCUUCACUGAGGAUAGGAAAGCCCUUUCUCUCCAAUUGUGAACUGCACGCAUGUGUGUAAGCUAUGCUUGCAUAGCAAAGUCCACUUGGGCAUUAGAGUCAAAGUUGUUAAGGGGAGCUAGUCAUAGCUACCACGUGGCCAGGCAUGUGGAACCAGACACCAGGCACACAUCAUGAAUCAUCAUAUUUACUUUAAAUAAUGCUGACAACCUAGUUCAUAGUGACACACUACUUGAGAUAUAUAGAAUAACAUUAUUACCCAGUAAGUAUGUGAACAUUCCGAUAUUUUAGUAAGGGUCAUCACCAUGGCACUUAUCUACAGAGAUAAAUGAAAACUAAAACAGGGUUGCUGCAUUAAUUUUGCCCUGGCAAUUGUCUGAUUCUGAAAUGGUGGCAGGUUUUGAGCCAAAACUUGAAUGAGUAAGAACUUGCCAUAUAGCCGAGAAGAGCACUCUAGCAAAAAGAAAUAAAUAUAAGGAAGCAUAAUAGUUAAAGGUUUUUAAGGAACUACAAAUAAUUCAGUGUGAUGAAGUAUGGAGGUGAGGUCAUGUGAGGGAGAGGGAUUUGGAGAGAAAAGUGGCUGUGUUCCGAUCACCUCCUGUGCACCUGUUGAAAGACAAUAAAUUCUCCUGCCCUAAAUAGUAAGAAGGCUGGACACAUGACCUCAACACUGAAUAAAUGAGACUGGCAGAAAUUUAUUAGUCAUAUGUACUCACAGCCUGGAAAAAAGAGGGCACUGCAUACCGUGCAAGGCCACAGAAGGUUUGCACUCAGGAACAGAAUGAACCAUUAGGGGCUGUGAGAGGUAGGCUUUGUAGUCAUCAGAGGGUUGGGUGACUCCUGGUUCCCUCCAGAGAAUGUAGUUGGCUUGCUUUAACAGUUUUAGGGACUGGCAGUGAGACGAAACCCAUUAGGUUGAGGCCUGAGUGAGAUGCAGCUGGUCUGUCAGAUAAGGGAACUGGACAAGUAGGGAACCUUUCCUGCUUGUGGGAGUCAUAGCUAUCAAGACAGGGGAAUUUGUGGAUAAGCAUUUUUGGGGAGCUCUGUGAGGGUCAAAAAUCUCAAGGCAGCAGUUGAAAUUUUAGGUCUUACAAUACCUAAAAUUGGUUUGGAGUUAUGGCAGAACAAAAAGGGAAAGAACAGGUCAUAAGGGCGUGAGUAUACAAGGCAAACACUUGGAUUUUAUUUUUCAGUGGGCAAUAGGAAACCACUGACCAAUUGUGAGCAAAGAAUAUUAUUCCAGUUCUCUUCUGAGAAAAAAAAGUCUCUGUCCCAUUCCAGGAGGUGCAGCAAUCAAUCAAUCAAUCAAUAAGGGGGGAAAUAAAGGAAAAAAGUCUUUAGAGUUUUCAUGUUUAUGAUCUGGUCCUUGAUUGGUUUAUUUUUCAGCAAGUCACUUCUUUUCUAACUUGGGAAAGGGAAAGUUUGGGACUGUAUAUAUUUAUUUAAAUCUGACCACUCCACACUAGUCAUCUCCACUUGAAUGUUCAAUACACAACUUGAAGUAAAUGCUGAAACAGAUUCUAGAUCCCCACCACACACAUACACACUCCACUCUCAAAAUGCUCUUUCUGAAGUCAUUCCUGUCUCAGUAAAUGCAAACUGUGUUGUUACAGCAAAAGAAACUGGAGAUAUAUAUGACUUUUCUAUUUAUUUCACACCAAUUUAAUCACAAACCCUUUAAAACAUACCCAGAAUUCAACCACUCCUUGAUACUUCUACAAACACUACCCAUAAUGGUUUAUGGGUCAUCCAGAUAUUAUAAUAGCCUUUCAAUCAAUCUUCUCCAGGAAGGAGAAAGAGAGAGCAACAAAGAUUUUUGCAGAAUAGAAGAAUAUUGUUAAAUAAUUAUCACAUUGGCCGGGCGUGGUGGCUCACGCCUGUAAUCCCAGUACUUUGAGAGGUCAAGGUGGGAGGAUCAGCUCAGGUCAGGAGUUCGAGACCAACCUGGCCAACAUAGUGAAACCCCGUCUCUACUAAAAAUACAAAAAUUAGCCAGGCAUUGGUGGUGGGCGCCUGUAAUCCCAGCUACUUGGGAGGCUGAGGCAGGAGAAUCGCUUGAACCUGGAAGGCAGAGGUUUCGGUGAGCUGAGAUGGUGCCACUGCACUCCAGCCUAGGCCACAGAGUGAGACUCUGUCUCAAAAAUAAUAAUAAUAAUAAUAAUAAUAAUAAUAAUAAUUCUCACAUUGAAGAUGAUUGCAGAAUUCGAAAAUAAAUGAGAAAUUCGGCAUAUUUUUAUUGAGCUCCUACUAUUUGUCAGAUGUUAUUCUAUGGAUAGGGAAAGAAAGACUAUGUAAAAGGCCCAAUUUCUAUGCACCAGAAGCCGCUAUAUUUGCUAACCAAGAGAAACCAAGACUUAUCACAAAUGAGCCAGGAGAGCCAUUAUUCCCAGUAUCUGGGGUUUAGGAAAAUUAAGGAAAUGUCUUAUAUGUAGGCUGUUGACAUUAUCUUCAAAUGAAGUACUUGACUUCACAGAGAUUCACUGACAGGCUUGAAAGAAGCCACACAAAAUAGAACUUUAUAUGCCAUGAUGGGGCCAAGAGCGCUACGGAACAUUAUAAAUUCUAUAAAUAUCUUCUCCAUAGUAUGAUGCUAAUGCAUUACAUUUUCGUGUUGAUUCAUCUAUUAAAUGUAAAAAUUGUUAAUAAUAAAAAUUUUUGCAUUUCUAUUUCGUGUUCCUUCACUUCUUAAUAUAUGGGAACCUCAAAAACUGGUAAUGGCUCUAGUCCGCUCGGCACUCCUGAGAAACCCCAAGGAAAGUAUUUUCUUUCCUUUCUAAACAGAACCAUACCACGAAAAGUGCUCUGAUAUCACAUUAUCACAAUCAGAGAAAGUACCAGAACAGCAUGGAGAGGGGGUAAUUGUCUCCGGGGUCUGCAGAUAUCCAUGCAGGAUGGCGAGAAAGACCACGGUACAGAUGUUGCCUUGUGGUAAAACUGCCUUCCAGGUACAGUUUUCUUAACAACUAUCUGGGCAGACCCUGCAAGAACCUAGUCUGUAAAUGGUGAAUGUGGAUGAGCAUCAUAGGGAAGAAACCUUGAGUAAGCUUAUUUUAACAUAUCCUUCGAUGCAGACAAUAUGCAGAAUUUUAGCAUCUUUUAGAUGCCAUAAACUCCGCUUCUUCUGCCUUGGGAGUCAGAACAAACGACUUUUCUCUCCAAGGAGUAGUUAUAUUACCACAAGACUAAAAUAAUUGUCGAUACCAACCGUUUAUAAAUCCCGAUUCUGUGGCCCCAAAUAUCCCACCUAAUCUAAAG
RNAcentral lists this long non-coding RNA (13870 nucleotides) under Homo sapiens (human). RNAcentral's name for it is "non-protein coding lnc-HIST1H2BI-2:4". The stretch from base 843 to 914 matches the Rfam family "tRNA". The record is from RNAcentral. Lineage: Eukaryota; Metazoa; Chordata; Mammalia; Primates; Hominidae.